GAGUUUGAUCGUGGCUCAGGAUGAACGCUGGCGGCGUGCCUAAUACAUGCAAGUCGAGCGAACCACUUCGGUGGUGAGCGGCGAACGGGUGAGUAACACGUAGGUGAUCUGCCCAUCAGACGGGGACAACGAUUGGAAACGAUCGCUAAUACCGGAUAGGACGAAAGUUUAAAGGUGCUUCUGGCACCGCUGAUGGAUGAGCCUGCGGCGCAUUAGCUAGUUGGUAGGUAAAGGCCUACCAAGGCGACGAUGCGUAGCCGACCUGAGAGGGUGAACGGCCACACUGGGACUGAGACACGGCCCAGACUCCUACGGGAGGCAGCAGUGGGGAAUAUUGCACAAUGGGGGAAACCCUGAUGCAGCGACGCCGCGUGAAGGAUGAAGUAUUUCGGU
RNAcentral lists this ribosomal RNA (393 nucleotides) under uncultured bacterium. RNAcentral describes it as "bacterial SSU rRNA". It matches the Rfam family "Bacterial small subunit ribosomal RNA", at positions 9 to 422 of the family's 1533-position model. The record is from RNAcentral.